Melozone crissalis (California towhee) is the source of this 1938-nucleotide long non-coding RNA. RefSeq lists it as uncharacterized. The record is from RefSeq and is a predicted model, not a curated record. The transcript has 2 exons. NCBI's taxonomy places the organism in Eukaryota, Metazoa, Chordata, Aves, Passeriformes, Passerellidae.
UGUGCCAGCCCCAAGCCCUGAGCUGUCUCCAGACAGAGGAGGAGGGUUCUGUACAUGGCAGAGAGCUGCAGCUACUGUCCACAGGAAAGACACCCAGGCACAACAAGGAGGAUUGAACAAGAUAAGAUGGGCACUCAAGCAGCCAGAAGCCCACACAUUACACUUACGGGGGAAGAUCACCCACAGUGCACAGACGUGCAGUGAGCUUUGGGAGGGAGGAGGCAGCUCAGCACAGUGUACCAUGCAUGCCCUUGCAUUGUGGAGGAAGGCACAGGCAAUUGGAUUUAACCAGCUGGGUGGAAUUUGAUUUGAUUAGCUUUGGCACAGUUUCACAUACUCUCAAUUCAUCAGUGAAUGGAGUAACUAUAUUGGAAAGCUACUGGGGAAAAACAACAUUGCCCCUGAUGCUACUGUCACAGGCAGAUAGAGCACAAUCCCAUACAGCCUCACUCUGUGUUUUCCUCUCUUCAUUGUCUCCCUAGUUAGUUUUUUUGUGCCAGUGUGUGUCUUCCUGUAUCAGGAUUGGCUGCCUUUUCUUGCUCUGAGAUCUUGGCAUGUAAAGAGCAGUCAUUACUCCAUGACUUGACUAUGAGCAAGGGUGGGAGUGCCCCCUCUUGAACAAUAAAACCCCUUGUAGAGAAAAGCCUAACUAAACAAAACAAAAUGUGUAAAACCAGGCAGUGCUGCCACAAAGCACUUUGCUAGCUAGGGAGUCUAUAUGGAGUAUGAAUAAGAGCCUACUGUGUUGCAGUCUGUCCUGCCUGUGAAAGAUCCCAUUCUAUAAAGGGGUACGUGUUAGUCUCUUCUUAUUUCAUACAAGUCUAGGCAAAUACAACUACUUUAGUUUCAAUGAAGCUGUGCCUAAUCUCCACCAAGAAUGAGAACUGAACCAGGCCCAGCAAUUUGGGACAGCAUGUUCAUACAAAGCCAUCUUCUCUCAGAUUCAUCUUGAGAAAAUAACAUCCCCUACUUUUACCAACUGUCAAUACCUUGUAAUUUUGAGUAUCAGUAGUGGCAGCUCACAGUUAAAAACAUUUUUAUGUAGUAUGAGCUUACAAGUCCUGUAAUAUGAGCUAAUAAAGGGUAAUAUGCAAGUGAUUGAAGUAUUUUGAAACAUGGCUCACCAGAAGAUCAUGUGUCUAUCAUGUGUCAGGCUGAGCUCUCUGUAUGAAGAAUAUGAGGGAAAUUCAUUGCUUUAUCUUACAGCUCCCCAGAAGACCAUCCUUUUAAAGUAGAAUAAAAAAAGUGUUUUGUUUGAAGGAUAGAUCUGAAGAAAAGUUAUAGGUUUCAGAGACAGAGAAUCAAGCUAAAUAUGGUGAGCUGUACAGACGAAUCUCAGGAAUUAUUCCUGUGAAACACAUUCUCAAGCUAAGUUACCCUAAGUAUUAACAUUUGUCUUGAGUGAAAAUAGACUUUCAUCAGUUAAUUUUCAAAUCAAGAGGUGAAAUUAAAAAGUGAGAAAAUUCUCAGUAUGAAAAUUAAAUUGAAGCAUCCAAGUUUUCAACAGAAAAGUGUCCAGGCAUGAGCCUUUUUGAUUUUUAGCAGGGUACUACAAUUGUGAAUACUUGUAGGAGCUCAAUUGGAACUGUAGAGAGGCCAAAAACCCCCAUGUAUAUGUCUAGAAAAUACAGAAAAUGGAAAUAUGGAUCUGAAAGGUAAAGAACCAAAAAUGAAUUAAUGUACUCAACAAAUGAUCAACAGAUAUGUAAUUUUCAGUGUGUACUUCUUACAGAUUUUGUUCCAUUUCCUCAUGUGGGAGGAAUCCUAUGUGGGAUUAGGCAGGACAUUUUCCUUUGACAAACAAUGUAAGACUGAAAAUGAUGCAUGAAAAAAGGCCAAAAGCUUUACUUGUGAAUUCUGUCCACCAUCAGUGGUCGUUGAUAUCAAUGUUCUUUGAGUAGAAAGGCUACAAAAUCAAUAAAAGUAAUAAAAACAUUA